GAUAGUGUCGCCGAGUGUUCUAUGGCGCUUGUUUUAGGCACCAGUCUCUUCGGCGGCAAGGGUUCAAAUUCCUUCACUGUCA
Daphnia pulex (common water flea) is the source of this 82-nucleotide non-coding RNA. Lineage: Eukaryota; Metazoa; Arthropoda; Branchiopoda; Diplostraca; Daphniidae. The record is from Rfam.